RNAcentral lists this ribosomal RNA (327 nucleotides) under Triticum aestivum (bread wheat). Its description in RNAcentral is "partial small subunit ribosomal RNA". Lineage: Eukaryota; Viridiplantae; Streptophyta; Magnoliopsida; Poales; Poaceae. The record is from RNAcentral.
AUGGUUUCGUGGAGCGAUGACAGCGAUGAAUCGGGCUACGAGUACUCUUCAGGCGGCUCCCCUAUCAAGAUCCCGGCUACAAUCGAGGACCCGAACUACUCUGGUGUUGAUGAUGAGGUGAUGGUGAUGUGUGAGCAUGGCCAGCUGGCGAAGAGGCAUGUUUGCUUCGAAGGGAUUAGCACUGGGAGGAGUUCAUUGCCUAUGGACUUGAUGAAGCAAGCAGUUGUGGUGUUGUUCAUUGGGACAAUAUUCCGAAGGAAAAUGAAGUCCAACAAGGUGAACAUGAGGAGAUCACUCCUCCUUUGGACAACAAUAUUUCAGCUUUGA